RNAcentral lists this ribosomal RNA (504 nucleotides) under uncultured bacterium. RNAcentral's name for it is "bacterial SSU rRNA". It matches the Rfam family "Bacterial small subunit ribosomal RNA", at positions 19 to 518 of the family's 1533-position model. The record is from RNAcentral.
CUGGCUCAGGAUGAACGCUAGCGGCAGGCUUAACACAUGCAAGUCGAGGGGCAGCGCGAGUAGCAAUACUUGGCGGCGACCGGCGCAAGGGUGCGUAACGCGUGAGCAACAUGCCCGUAUCAGGGGGAUAAUCCAGGGAAACUUGGUCUAAUACCCCAUAGUAAUUUUGUAAGGCAUCUUAUAAGAUUUAAAGCUUUGGUGGAUACGGAUUGGCUCGCGUGACAUUAGCUGGAUGGUAAGGUAGCGGCUUACCAUGGCUAUGAUGUCUAGGGGUUCUGAGAGGAAGGUCCCCACACUGGAACUGGGACACGGUCCAGACUCCUACGGGAGGCAGCAGUGAGGAAUAUUGGACAAUGGAUGGAAAUCUGAUCCAGCCAUGCCGCGUGAAAGGAAGAAGGUCCUAUGGAUUGUAAACUUCUUUUGUAUGGGAGCAAUAAGGCCUACGAGUAGGUUGAUGAGAGUACCAUACGAAUAAGCACCGGCUAACUCCGUGCCAGCCGCCGC